GAUGAACGCUGGCGGCGUGCUUAACACAUGCAAUUCGACCGAACGGCCACUACUUUUGUUUCUUGCUCGUUAGGGGCGCGGGUGGGUAACACGUGUGUAAACCGCCCUUGACUUACGGGGAAAAUUUGGAAAAUCGGGAGCAAACCCGGUAGAAUCUUCUGACCCCCUUGGUUGAUAGGAAAAUGCCGGCUUUGGGGUAUGUAAUCGCGGAUUCCGCGCUGCAUUAGCUGGUUGUUAAGUUAACGGCUUACCACGGCAAGCAUGCAUGGCCGACCUGAGAGGGUGAUAGGCCACACUGGAACGGAGACACGGUCCAGACUCCUACGGGAGGCAGCAGUAGGGAAUCUGCCGCAAUGGGCGAAAGCCUGACGGAGCAACGCCGCGUGAGUGAUGAAGGUCUUCGGAUCGUAAAACUCUGUUAUUAGGGAAGAACAUAUGUGUAAGUAACUGUGCACAUAUUGACGGUACCUAAUCAGAAAGCCACGGCUAACUACGUG
RNAcentral lists this ribosomal RNA (497 nucleotides) under uncultured bacterium. RNAcentral describes it as "partial 16S ribosomal RNA". It matches the Rfam family "Bacterial small subunit ribosomal RNA", at positions 28 to 507 of the family's 1533-position model. The record is from RNAcentral.